AUGCAACAUACCGGAAGCGACGCUACUGCGCAUGAUCAAAAUGGCGACCUCCAGAUGCCGCGAUAUGCCGCGUUAUAUCCCACAAUCCACCUUGCCGGAAGUGACGCUAUUGCGCAUGAUCAAAAUGGCGACCUCCAGAUGCCACGUUAUGCCCCGUUAUAUCCCACAAUGCAAUAUAGCGGAAGUGACGCUACUGCGCAUGAUCAAAAUGGCGACCUCCAAAUGCCGCGAUAUGCCGCGUUAUAUCCCACAAUGCAACAUACCGGAAGCGACGCUACUGCGCAUGACCAAAAUGGCGACCGCCAAUUGCCACGUUAUGCCGCGUUAUAUCCCACAAUGCACCAUACCGGAAACGACGCUACUGCGCAUGAUCAAAAUGGCGACCGCCAAUUGCCACGGUAUGCCGCCUUAUAUCCCACAAUGCACCAUACCGGAAGCGACGCUACUGCGCAUGUUCAAAAUGGCGACCGCCAAUUGCCACGUUAUGCCGCCUUAUAUCCCACAAUGCACCAUACCGGAAGCGACGCUACUGCGCAUGACCAAAAUGGCGACCUCCAGAUGCCUCGUUAUGCCGCGUUAUAUCCCACAAUGCACCUUGCCGGAAGUGACGCUAUUCCUCACUAUGAAAAUGGCGCCCGCGACGUGCCGGGACACUGUGGGGCUUUAUGGGGCUUCUAUGGGGCUCUGUGGGGCUCUAUGGGGCUUCUAUGGGGCUCUGUGGGGCUCUAUGGGGUUCUGUGGGGCUCUAUGGGGCACUGUGGGGCUUCUAUGAAGCGCUCUUUAUCUCUAUGUGUCUCUAUGUGGCUGUAUGUGGCUGUGUGGGGCCUCCACCGUCACCACCAUCAUUCCCCUCACACCACCCACAUCACUGCCCCCCCACCAUUACCCCCAUCACCCCCAUUAUCCCCAUCACCCCCAUUAUCACCAUCACCCCAUUAUCACCCCACCAUUGUCCCCCCACUGUCCCCCCCCACUGGAACCUCUCCCCCAUUCAUCACCGUUGUCCCCCACCAUCCACUGCUGUCACACCCAUCACCUCCCCCCCACGUCACCCCACUGCCCAAUUCCAAGUGGUUUUCUUCCACUCUAACCACUAAGCGGGGUUAG
RNAcentral lists this long non-coding RNA (1107 nucleotides) under Coturnix japonica (Japanese quail). RNAcentral describes it as "lncRNA (ENSCJPG00005005170.1)". The record is from RNAcentral. Lineage: Eukaryota; Metazoa; Chordata; Aves; Galliformes; Phasianidae.